RNAcentral lists this ribosomal RNA (253 nucleotides) under uncultured bacterium. RNAcentral's name for it is "partial 16S ribosomal RNA". It matches the Rfam family "Bacterial small subunit ribosomal RNA", at positions 524 to 776 of the family's 1533-position model. The record is from RNAcentral.
UACGUGGGGUGCAAGCGUUAAUCGGAAUUACUGGGCGUAAAGCGUGCGCAGGCGGCCAUGCAAGACAGAUGUGAAAUCCCCGGGCUUAACCUGGGAACUGCAUUUGUGACUGCAUGGCUAGAGUACGGUAGAGGGGGAUGGAAUUCCGCGUGUAGCAGUGAAAUGCGUAGAUAUGCGGAGGAACACCGAUGGCGAAGGCAAUCCCCUGGACCUGUACUGACGCUCAUGCACGAAAGCGUGGGGAGCAAACAGG